This 134-nucleotide ribosomal RNA is filed under the name Chinchilla lanigera (long-tailed chinchilla). Lineage: Eukaryota; Metazoa; Chordata; Mammalia; Rodentia; Chinchillidae. The record is from RNAcentral.
GUCUACGGCCAUACCACCCUGAACGCACCUGAUCUCGUCUGAUCUUGGAAGCUGAGCAGGGUCGGGCCUGGGUAGUACUUUGAUGGGAGAACGAGUAACCAGUGCAUUCUCUCCCAGACCGGGCAGGGUAGACG